RNAcentral lists this ribosomal RNA (254 nucleotides) under uncultured bacterium. Its description in RNAcentral is "partial 16S ribosomal RNA". It matches the Rfam family "Bacterial small subunit ribosomal RNA", at positions 524 to 776 of the family's 1533-position model. The record is from RNAcentral.
UACGUAGGGGGCAAGCGUUGUCCGGAUUUAUUGGGCGUAAAGAGCGUGUAGGCGGCCAAGCAGGUCCGCUGUGAAAACUCGAGGCUCAACCUCGAGACGUCGGUGGAAACCGUUUGGCUAGAGUCCGGAAGAGGAGAGUGGAAUUCCCGGUGUAGCGGUGAAAUGCGCAGAUAUCGGGAAGAACACCCGUGGCGAAGGCGGCUCUCUGGGACGGUUUCUGACGCUAAGACGCGAAAGCGUGGGGAGCAAACAGG